UACGGAGGGUGCAAGCGUUAUCCGGAUUUACUGGGUUUAAAGGGUGCGCAGGCGGAUAUGUAAGUCAGUGGUGAAAUCUCUAGGCUUAACCUGGAAAUUGCCGUUGAUACUAUAUAUCUUGAAUGCUGUGGAGGUAAGCGGAAUAUGUCAUGUAGCGGUGAAAUGCUUAGAUAUGACAUAGAACACCUAUUGCGAAGGCAGCUUACUACGCAGAUAUUGACGCUCAUGCACGAAAGCGUGGGGAGCAAACGGG
RNAcentral lists this ribosomal RNA (253 nucleotides) under uncultured bacterium. RNAcentral's name for it is "partial 16S ribosomal RNA". It matches the Rfam family "Bacterial small subunit ribosomal RNA", at positions 524 to 776 of the family's 1533-position model. The record is from RNAcentral.